Long non-coding RNA from Humulus lupulus (European hop), 407 nucleotides. RefSeq lists it as uncharacterized. The record is from RefSeq and is a predicted model, not a curated record. Lineage: Eukaryota; Viridiplantae; Streptophyta; Magnoliopsida; Rosales; Cannabaceae. The transcript has 2 exons.
UUUUCCAAGGUGCUAAUAUACUAUAUAAAUAAGAUGAGAAGUAGAGAGGGAAAUCACAAUUAGCAACAAUAAGUAAAAAAUGAAGUUGUUUUGGAUCCAUAGUUGUAUGUUACUCUCUUUCCUCCUUGUAUUUGUAUCAGCCAAUAUCUCUUUGGCACCAAACUCCUUCGUCCCUACAGAUGAUCAAGUGAUUUCGUGGAUAUUGAGAAGACAUGGCCCUCGGCCACCGCCACCGCCACCGCCAUCACCAAUUGAUGCACCUAGUCCUGGAUAUUCUAUUUGAUACGGCACCAGUUUGAAUUUUGAAUAAAAAAAAAAGUCAAUAAUGAUGUUGCAGAUAUUAAGUCUACGCUUUUUUCUAGUACAUCUACUGUUUAUUUUUUAAUAAGAAAGCAGGUGAUUUUAUA